UACGGAGGGUGCAAGCGUUACUCGGAAUCACUGGGCGUAAAGAGCGCGUAGGCGGGAUAGCAAGUCAGAUGUGAAAUCCUAUGGCUUAACCAUAGAACUGCAUUUGAAACUGGCAGUCUUGAGUACAGUAGAGGUGGGCGGAAUUCGUGGUGUAGCGGUGAAAUGCUUAGAUAUCACGAAGAACUCCGAUUGCGAAGGCAGCUCACUGGACUGCAACUGACACUGAGGCUCGAAAGUGUGGGUAUCAAACAGG
RNAcentral lists this ribosomal RNA (253 nucleotides) under uncultured bacterium. RNAcentral describes it as "partial 16S ribosomal RNA". It matches the Rfam family "Bacterial small subunit ribosomal RNA", at positions 524 to 776 of the family's 1533-position model. The record is from RNAcentral.